RNAcentral lists this ribosomal RNA (509 nucleotides) under uncultured Acidobacteriota bacterium. RNAcentral describes it as "bacterial SSU rRNA". It matches the Rfam family "Bacterial small subunit ribosomal RNA", at positions 173 to 655 of the family's 1533-position model. Lineage: Bacteria; Pseudomonadati; Acidobacteriota. The record is from RNAcentral.
AUAACAUCCUGCCUUCGGAACAGGCGGUGAUCAAAGCCGGGGACCGUAAGGCCCGGCGCUUGAUGAGGGGCUCGCGUCUGAUUAGCAAGUUGGUGAGGUAAUGGCCCACCAAGGCGACGAUCAUGUAUCCGGCCCGAGAGGGCGGACGGACACACUGGGACUGAGACACGGCCCAGACUCCUACGGGAGGCAGCAGUGGGGAAUUGUUCACAAUGGGCGCAAGCCUGAUGACGCAACCGCCGCGUGGAGGAUGAAGGUCUUCGGAUUGUAAACUCCUGUUGCCCGGGACGAAAAGCCUCGACCUAACACGAUMNAGGUCUGACGGUACCGGCUGAGGAAGCCCCGGCUAACUCUGNGCCACAGCCGCGGGAAUACAGAGGGGGCAAGGCGUUGNUCGGAANAACUGGGCCGUAAAAGGGCGCGUAGGCGGCCUUCUAAGUCCGAACCGUGAAAUCCCUGGGCUCAACCCAGGAACUGCGUCCGAUACUGGAAGGCUUGAAUCCGGGAGA